UACGUAGGGUGCGAGCGUUAAUCGGAAUUACUGGGCGUAAAGCGUGCGCAGGCGGUUUUGUAAGCCAGAUGUGAAAUCCCCGGGCUUAACCUGGGAAUGGCAUUUGGGACUGCAAGGCUGGAGUGCGGCAGAGGAGACUGGAAUUCCUGGUGUAGCAGUGAAAUGCGUAGAUAUCGGGAAGAACACCCGUGGCGAAGGCGGCUCUCUGGGACGGUACUGACGCUGAGACGCGAAAGCGUGGGGAGCGAACAGG
This 253-nucleotide ribosomal RNA is filed under the name uncultured bacterium. RNAcentral's name for it is "partial 16S ribosomal RNA". It matches the Rfam family "Bacterial small subunit ribosomal RNA", at positions 524 to 776 of the family's 1533-position model. The record is from RNAcentral.